Molecule: ribosomal RNA, 274 nt
Filed under: uncultured bacterium
Lineage: Bacteria
Description: partial 16S ribosomal RNA
Rfam family: Bacterial small subunit ribosomal RNA
Source: RNAcentral
AUACGGCGGGUGCAAGCGUUAAUCGGAAUUACUGGGCGUAAAGCGUGCGCAGGCGGUUUUGUAAGUCAGAUGUGAAAUCCCCGGGCUUAACCUGGGAACUGCGUUUGAAACUGCAAGGCUAGAGUGUGGCAGAGGGGGGUGGAAUUCCGCGUGUAGCAGUGAAAUGCGUAGAGAUGUGGAGGAACACCGAUGGCGAAGGCAGCCCCCUGGGUCAACACUGACGCUCAGGCACGAAAGCAUGGGGAGCAAACAGGAUUAGAAACCCCAGUAGUCC